GCUAUGAAUACAUUCGACACGUUUGCUUCCAUCAAUCGCGGCCAACAACAUCCGUUUUCCUGCAGCAGUAACCUCUAACCCCUGUUGACAAUGCCGGGGGACAGCAUUAACAGCAGCAGCAGCAGAAUUUGACCAUGGUAUGGUAUUGCGAAGAACUUUCCCCAUUAGAGGUUCCGUGCUUCGCGCACAUUCAGACACGAAAACUCAACGACAAGGAGGUAUUUAUCAACUUGCUCAGCUGAAUUACCACCCGGAGGAACCCGAAUGCACUGAUUCCGUUGUAUAGUAGAAUGAAAAUAGGCGAGGUAAGCGAACGUAAUCGCAUGAUAUUUUAAUGUUCGCAUUUUUAUCCGGAUCAUACAACUGCUAUAAAUACAUCCGACUCAAUCAAUCGGCGAAUGAGAAAGAUGAUUUCCCUCAUCACCACAUUGCUUAUUUCCACUUCUGUCACACCAGCCAACAGCAUCAGCUUUCCCGCAGCAGUAUCCUUUAAGUCCAGGGUGCUAUUCCGGGGAACAGCAUCAACAGCAACAGUAUCAGGACCUGGCCAUCGAUAGUAUUUCGAGCAAUUUUCCCCAUCGGAGAUCCCGUGCUUCACGCACAUUGCAGAAUCCUCCUCAGCCACAUAUCUGUGUCAUCAAGGGCAAGGAGGUACUCAUCAAUGUACUCAGUCGGAUUUGAAUCGUCAAUCCAGACAACCCGGAUGCACCGAUUCCAUUAUAUACCUUAUUUUUAUUAUACA
This is a long non-coding RNA of Toxorhynchites rutilus septentrionalis, 742 nucleotides long. RefSeq lists it as uncharacterized. Lineage: Eukaryota; Metazoa; Arthropoda; Insecta; Diptera; Culicidae. The transcript has 3 exons. The record is from RefSeq and is a predicted model, not a curated record.